RNAcentral lists this unclassified non-coding RNA (202 nucleotides) under uncultured Gymnopus. RNAcentral describes it as "sequence contains ITS1". The record is from RNAcentral. Lineage: Eukaryota; Fungi; Basidiomycota; Agaricomycetes; Agaricales; Tricholomataceae.
UUGAAAAUUUUGGGGGUACUGUUGCUGGUCUUUUACAAGGCAUGUGCACGUAUCUCUAAUUUAUUCAUCCACCUGUGCACUUUUUGUAGGAGUUUUAUCAGAUGGGCUUUCGGGUCUUCUGUGAGACUUCUAUGUCUUUAUAAACCAGUUAAGCAUGUUUAGAAUGUGUUAUAUUGGGACUUCAUUGACCCUUUAAACUAUA